Molecule: ribosomal RNA, 320 nt
Filed under: uncultured eukaryote
Lineage: Eukaryota
Description: partial 18S ribosomal RNA
Rfam family: Eukaryotic small subunit ribosomal RNA
Source: RNAcentral
CCCUUAGACGUUCUGGGCCGCACGCGCGCUACACUGAACAGUUCAACAAGUCUUAACCUUGGCCGAUAGGUCUGGGUAAUCUUUGAACGCUGUUCGUGAUUGGGAUAGACCUUUGCAAUUAUGGGUCUUCAACGAGGAAUUCCUAGUAAACGCAAGUCAUCAGCUUGCAUUGAUUACGUCCCUGCCCUUUGUACACACCGCCCGUCGCACCUACCGAUUGAAUGGUCCGGUGAAAUCUCGGGACGGCGGCUUGGUCGCUUGCGUCCGACUGCUGAAACUUGAUUAAACCAUAUCAUUUAGAGGAAGGUGAAGUCGUAACA